RNAcentral lists this ribosomal RNA (497 nucleotides) under uncultured bacterium. RNAcentral's name for it is "partial 16S ribosomal RNA". It matches the Rfam family "Bacterial small subunit ribosomal RNA", at positions 28 to 507 of the family's 1533-position model. The record is from RNAcentral.
GAUGAACGCUGGCGGGGGGCCUAAUACAUGCAAGUCGAGCGAACAGACGAGGAGCUUGCUCCUCUGACGGUAGCGGGGGACGGGUGAGUAACACGUGGAAAACCUACCUAUGAGACUGGGUUAACUUCGGGAAACCGAUGCUACAACCGGUUAAGAUAUUGAACCACAUGGAUCAAUAAUUAAAGACGGUUUUGCUGUGACUUAGAGAUGGAUAAGCGCAGGUUUAGCAAGUGGUUAAGGAAACGGCUUACCAAGGCCACGAUGCGUAGCCGACCUGAUAGGGUGAUGGGCCACCCUGGAACUGAUACACGGUCCCGACUCAUACGGGAGGCAGCAGUAGGGAAUCUUCAGCAAUGGCCGAAAGCCUGAGGGUGCACCGCCCAGCGCGUGAUGAAGGUCUCCGGAUUGUAGAACUUUGUCAUCAGGGAAGAACAAAUGUGUAAGUAACUAUGCACGUAUUGACGGUAACUAAUCAGAAAGCCACGGCUAACUACGUG